GACGGGGGAGGCAGGCGUUAUCCGGAAUUAUUGGGCGUAAAGGGUACGUAGGCGGCUGGUCAAGUCUGGGGUUAAAGGCCACAGCUCAACUGUGGGAAGGCCCUGGAAACUGACCGGCUAGAGUGAGGUAGGGGUUGCGGGAAUUCCCGGUGUAGCGGUGAAAUGCGUAGAGAUCGGGAAGAACACCUGAGGCGGAAGCGCGCAACUGGGCCUCAACUGACGCUGAGGUACGAAAGCUAGGGGAGCGAAUGGG
RNAcentral lists this ribosomal RNA (253 nucleotides) under uncultured bacterium. Its description in RNAcentral is "partial 16S ribosomal RNA". It matches the Rfam family "Bacterial small subunit ribosomal RNA", at positions 524 to 776 of the family's 1533-position model. The record is from RNAcentral.